This 367-nucleotide ribosomal RNA is filed under the name uncultured organism. RNAcentral's name for it is "partial 16S ribosomal RNA". It matches the Rfam family "Bacterial small subunit ribosomal RNA", at positions 527 to 895 of the family's 1533-position model. The record is from RNAcentral.
GUAGGGUGCAAGCGUUAAUUGGAAUUACUGGGCGUAAAGCGUGCGCAGGCGGUUUUGUAAGACAGUGGUGAAAUCCCCGGGCUCAACCUGGGAACUGCCAUUGUGACUGCAAGGCUGGAGUGCGGCAGAGGGGGAUGGAAUUCCGCGUGUAGCAGUGAAAUGCGUAGAUAUGCGGAGGAACACCGAUGGCGAAGGCAAUCCCCUGGGCCUGCACUGACGCUCAUGCACGAAAGCGUGGGGAGCAAACAGGAUUAGAUACCCUGGUAGUCCACGCCCCUAAACGAUGUCAACUGGUUGUUGGGAAUUUAUUUCUCAGUAACGAAGCUAACGCGUGAAGUUGACCGCCUGGGAGUACGGCCGCAAGGUU